This 252-nucleotide ribosomal RNA is filed under the name uncultured bacterium. Its description in RNAcentral is "partial 16S ribosomal RNA". It matches the Rfam family "Bacterial small subunit ribosomal RNA", at positions 524 to 776 of the family's 1533-position model. The record is from RNAcentral.
UACAGAGGCCUCAAGCGUUGUUCGGAUUCAUUGGGCGUAAAGAGCUCGUAGGCGGUUUGUCGCGUCUGCCGUGAAAGUCCGGGGCUCAACUCCGGAUCUGCGGUGGGUACGGGCAGACUAGAGUGAUGUAGGGGAGACUGGAAUUCCUGGUGUAGCGGUGAAAUGCGCAGAUAUCAGGAGGAACACCGAUGGCGAAGGCAGGUCUCUGGGCAUUAACUGACGCUGAGGAGCGAAAGCAUGGGAGCGAACAGG